AUUGAACGCUGGCGGCAGGCUUAACACAUGCAAGUCGAGCGAGCGGCGGACGGGUGAGUAAUUUCUGGGAAACUGCCUGAUCGAGGGGGAUAACUACUGGAAACGUUAGCUACUACCGCAUACCAUCAGAUGUGCCCACAGGGGAUUAGCUAGUAGGUGGGGUAAUGGCUCACCUAGGCGACGAUCCCUAGCUGGUCUGAGAGGAUGACCAGCCACACUGGAACUGAGACACGGUCCAGGCUCCUACGGGAGGCAGCAGUGGGGAAUAUUGCACAAUGGGCGCAAGCCUGAUGGAGCCAUGCCGCGUGUGUGAAGAAGGCCUUCGGGUUGUAAAGCACUUUCAGCGAGGAGGCGGUACUCGCAGAAGAAGCACCGGCUAACUCCGUGCCAGCCGCCGCGGUAAUUC
RNAcentral lists this ribosomal RNA (406 nucleotides) under uncultured bacterium. RNAcentral describes it as "partial 16S ribosomal RNA". It matches the Rfam family "Bacterial small subunit ribosomal RNA", at positions 30 to 526 of the family's 1533-position model. The record is from RNAcentral.